UACGAAGGGGGCUAGCGUUGUUCGGAAUUACUGGGCGUAAAGCGCGCGCAGGUGGUCUUUCAAGUCAGUGGUGAAAGCCCGGAGCUCAACUCCGGAAUGCCAUUGAAACUGUGAGACUUGAGGACGAGAGAGGUGAGUGGAAUUCCCAGUGUAGAGGUGAAAUUCGUAGAUAUUGGGAAGAACACCGGUGGCGAAGGCGGCUCACUGGCUCGUAUCUGACGCUCAGGCGCGACAGCGUGGGGAUCAAACAGG
This 252-nucleotide ribosomal RNA is filed under the name uncultured bacterium. RNAcentral describes it as "partial 16S ribosomal RNA". It matches the Rfam family "Bacterial small subunit ribosomal RNA", at positions 524 to 776 of the family's 1533-position model. The record is from RNAcentral.